GAAAUGCGAUAAGUAAUGUGAAUUGCAGAAUUCAGUGAAUCAUCGAAUCUUUGAACGCACAUUGCGCCCUCUGGUAUUCCGGGGGGCAUGCCUGUUCGAGCGUCAUUAUAACCAAUCUAGCAUAGCUAGGGUUUGGGUCCCGUCUGUUGGCGGGCCUUAAAAUCAGGGGCGGUGGCUUCAGGCUUUACGCGUAGUAAUUCUUCUCGCUACAGAGUCCUGGAUACUAUUUGCCAUUAAUAUUAUUUUUUUAGGUUGACCUCGGAUCAGGUAGGGAUACCCGCUGAACUUAA
Molecule: unclassified non-coding RNA, 290 nt
Filed under: uncultured Lachnum
Lineage: Eukaryota; Fungi; Ascomycota; Leotiomycetes; Helotiales; Hyaloscyphaceae
Description: sequence contains ITS1
Rfam family: 5.8S ribosomal RNA (bases 1-105)
Source: RNAcentral